GAUGAACGCUGGCGGCGUGCCUAAUACAUGCAAGUCGAGCGAACAGACGAGGAGCUUGCUCCUCUGACGUUAGCGGCGGACGGGUGAGUAACACGUGGAUAACCUACCUAUAAGACUGGGAUAACUUCGUGAAACCGGAGCUAAUACCGGAUAAUAUAUUGAACCGCAUGGUUCAAUAGUGAAAGACGGUUUUGCUGUCACUUAUAGAUGGAUCCGCGCCGGAUUAGCUAGUUGGUAAGGUAACGGCUUACCAAGGCGACGAUGCGUAGCCGACCUGAGAGGGUGAUCGGCCACACUGGAACUGAGACACGGUCCAGACUCCUACGGGAGGCAGCAGUAGGGAAUCUUCCGCAAUGGGCGAAAGCCUGACCGAGCAACGCCGCGUGAGUGAUGAAGGUCUUCGGAUCGUAAAACUCUGUUAUUAGGGAAGAACAAAUGUGUAAGUAACUAUGCACGUCUUGACGGUACCUAAUCAGAAAGCAACGGCUAACUACGUG
RNAcentral lists this ribosomal RNA (497 nucleotides) under uncultured bacterium. Its description in RNAcentral is "partial 16S ribosomal RNA". It matches the Rfam family "Bacterial small subunit ribosomal RNA", at positions 28 to 507 of the family's 1533-position model. The record is from RNAcentral.